RNAcentral lists this long non-coding RNA (575 nucleotides) under Fukomys damarensis (Damara mole-rat). Its description in RNAcentral is "lncRNA (ENSFDAG00000022810.1)". The record is from RNAcentral. Lineage: Eukaryota; Metazoa; Chordata; Mammalia; Rodentia; Bathyergidae.
UACAGGGUGGACAGGAGUGACUCCCCACAAGGCGAAGACAGACUAAAGCAUGGAAGGUCCUGCUCAUCCAUGAAUGUCUCUAUAUGGAUAAAUUUUGAUUUUAAAAUCAUCUCCAUUUGCAUUGAUUUAUCUUGUCGACACACCACUGUUUUAGAGCAAUUUUGCCAUGAACAUCCAUCGCUGUUUCUUAGCUCUUCUCUUCCUUGGCCUGCUCUCUACCUCAGAAACUGAAGAUACUUAUGAAGUCACUAGUGUCCUGGACUGUAAAAAUCUAACAGUGUGUAAUUUUCAAAAUGCAACUGAACACUGCUCUGAUGCUAAAGAGGUCAGAAUGUGCAUCUUGCGUCUUAGGAAAACUCCAAAACAACAAAUCUUAAAGAAAUAGAAAUCAGGAAGACAAGAUGAUUGGCUCCUUUGUCAUAACAAUAAAGUCUGAAUUUCUCUUCUACUUCCUGUAAUGAAGCACAUCCAUUUAUUGACAGUUUAAACAGCUUAAAAAAGAAAUCUUUUAUUUUUAGAACAAAAUACAAUGAGGAUGAUCAUAUCUUCUUCAGUUCCAACCAGUCAAGACAUAU